Molecule: long non-coding RNA, 497 nt
Organism: Musca domestica (house fly)
Lineage: Eukaryota; Metazoa; Arthropoda; Insecta; Diptera; Muscidae
Exons: 2
Source: RefSeq, a predicted model, not a curated record
UUUCUUUCAUGAAGCAAAUCAAAAAAGUCGGUACAAUUUUAUUAAUAAAAGUGCGAAAUAUUUUCAAGAUUUUGAGCAACCUUGAUACAAGUUUCUUUGAAGAUCUUUUUUAUUUGAUUACUUAUAGUGAAAUCCGAUGAAGGAUAUCAUAAUCGUAGACGUCGUGCUUCUAAAAUGAUGCUUUGUAGGAGAAUUUUGCGAAAAUCACAUGAAGUACUGCGAGUCGAAGUUGUCAAAAUACAGAGUAUAGUAUUUAUUGGAUCUAAUAUAAGUGUUGCAUCAGAUGUUGCAGAUCAGAUAAUUAACUGUACUUUUUUCAGGCUCUCUCAGAGCACGCAACGAAGACGGUGAAAAAUUUGGCAUUCUCCAUUCUACAAAAAGGACGCAUAUUUUUAUUUACGAAUUCUAUUAGUUGACGCAUUUUAGAGAGAUUUUUUUCGUUGUCUAUAAUAAGAAAAUAGAAUGAAAUAAAAUCCUAUUUCCAUUUUUUACUUAAA